UACAGAGGUCCCAAGCGUUGUUCGGAUUCACUGGGCGUAAAGGGUGCGUAGGCGGUCGGGUAAGUCUGAUGUGAAAUCUCACAGCUUAACUGUGAAACUGCAUUGGAUACUAUCCGGCUCGAGGAAUGGAGGGGAGACUGGAAUACUUGGUGUAGCAGUGAAAUGCGUAGAUAUCACUUGGAACGCCAAUGGUGAAAACAGAUAGCUGGGGUUGUGCUGACACUGAGACACGAAAGCCAGGGGAGCAAACGGG
RNAcentral lists this ribosomal RNA (253 nucleotides) under uncultured bacterium. RNAcentral's name for it is "partial 16S ribosomal RNA". It matches the Rfam family "Bacterial small subunit ribosomal RNA", at positions 524 to 776 of the family's 1533-position model. The record is from RNAcentral.